CACGAUGAACAGAUCUACUUGCAUAGUUCACACUGAACACACGGUGUUGACAAUUCAAUCUUUCAAAUGUCUUUCGCUCCUAUCUGAUCCUUUUA
This 95-nucleotide small nucleolar RNA is filed under the name Calocera viscosa TUFC12733. RNAcentral describes it as "Small nucleolar RNA snR60/Z15/Z230/Z193/J17". It matches the Rfam family "Small nucleolar RNA snR60/Z15/Z230/Z193/J17". From Rfam's summary of the family: The members of this family belong to the C/D class of snoRNAs which contain the C (UGAUGA) and D (CUGA) box motifs. Most of the members of the box C/D family function in directing site-specific 2'-O-methylation of substrate RNAs. The family includes the yeast snoRNA snR60 (also known as Z15) and the corresponding human guide snoRNA U80 (SNORD80). Lineage: Eukaryota; Fungi; Basidiomycota; Dacrymycetes; Dacrymycetales; Dacrymycetaceae. The record is from Rfam by way of RNAcentral.